RNAcentral lists this unclassified non-coding RNA (200 nucleotides) under soil metagenome. RNAcentral describes it as "partial contains internal transcribed spacer 2 and large subunit ribosomal RNA". The record is from RNAcentral.
UGUGGGGGUUGCGGGCUUCUAACGAGGUCGGCUCCUCUUAAAUGCAUUAGUGGAAACCGUUUGUAGGAUUCAUUUCACUUGACGUGAUAAUUAUCUUCGUCUUGUAGUGUUUCUGAGGUAUCUGCUUCUAACAGUCUCUUCAAUGUAGACAAAUGACUUUGUUUGACCUCAAAUCAGGUAGGACUACCCGCUGAACUUAA